RNAcentral lists this transfer RNA (68 nucleotides) under Cyanistes cyanus (azure tit). RNAcentral's name for it is "tRNA-Gly". It matches the Rfam family "tRNA". Rfam says of the family: Transfer RNA (tRNA) molecules are approximately 80 nucleotides in length. Lineage: Eukaryota; Metazoa; Chordata; Aves; Passeriformes; Paridae. The record is from RNAcentral.
ACUCUUCUAGUAUAACAAUUACAAUAGACUUCCAAUCUUUAAAUUCUGGUCAAACCCAGAGAAGAGUA